UUACGGGAAACCGGAGCUAAUACCGGAUAAUAUAUUGAACCGCAUGGUUCAAUGGUGAAAGACGGUCUUGCUGUCACUUAUAGAUGGAUCCGCGCCGCAUUAGCUAGUUGGUAAGGUAACGGCUUACCAAGGCAACGAUGCGUAGCCGACCUGAGAGGGUUGAUCGGCCACACUGGAACUGAGACACGGGGUCCAGACUCCUACGGGAGGCAGCAGC
This 217-nucleotide ribosomal RNA is filed under the name uncultured Staphylococcus sp. Its description in RNAcentral is "partial 16S ribosomal RNA". It matches the Rfam family "Bacterial small subunit ribosomal RNA", at positions 147 to 355 of the family's 1533-position model. Lineage: Bacteria; Bacillati; Bacillota; Bacilli; Caryophanales; Staphylococcaceae. The record is from RNAcentral.